This 1529-nucleotide ribosomal RNA is filed under the name human gut metagenome. RNAcentral's name for it is "bacterial LSU rRNA". It matches the Rfam family "Bacterial large subunit ribosomal RNA", at positions 780 to 2324 of the family's 2925-position model. The record is from RNAcentral.
CCAGACGUCUGUUGAAAAAGGCGGGGAUGACCUGUGGAUAGCGGAGAAAUUCCAAUCGAACCCGGAGAUAGCUGGUUCUCCUCGAAAUAGCUUUAGGGCUAGCCUCGCAUUAGUUUACCGGAGGUAGAGCACUGAAUGGUCUAGGGGGUCUCACCGCCUACCGAAACCUAUCAAACUGCGAAUGCCGGAUAAAUGAUGUGCGGGAGUCAGGCCGCGAGAGAUAAGUUCCGCGGUCAAAAGGGGAACACCCCAGAUCGUCUGCUAAGGUCCCCAAGUACGCGUUAAGUGGGAAAGGAUGUUGGAUUGCACAGACAACCAGGAUGUUGGCUUAGAAGCAGCCACACAUUCAAAGAGUGCGUAAUAGCUCACUGGUCGAGUGAUCCAGCGCCGAAAAUGUAACGGGGCUAAAACGCGACACCGAAGCAGCGGGAUGCGUAAGCAUCGGUAGAGGAGCAUUGUGUGAGGAUAGAAGCCAGAGCGGGAGCACUGGUGGACUUCACAGAAGAGAGAAUGCCGGUAUGAGUAGCGAGACCCAUGCGAGAAACAUGGGCGUCGAAGGCCCAAGGUUUCCUGGGGAAGGUUCAUCCACCCAGGGUAAGUCGGGACCUAAGCCGAGGACUGAGGUCGUAGGCGAUGGACAGCAGGUAGAGAUUCCUGCACCACUUACACUUGUUUGACGAAGCAGUGACACAGAAGGAUAGGACGAGCGCGGUGAUGGUCAACCGCGUAGGCGGCACGAGGCUGAGAAGCAGUAAAGUACACUUCUCAUGAAGGCUGAGUGCUGACAGGACCGAAAAAGAGUAGGGAAGCGUCUGAGUUCACGCUGGCGAGAAAAGCUGCUAAGGAGAGUGUGAGUGCCCGUACCGGAAACCGACGCAGGUGGGCGAGGAGAGAAUCCUGAGACGGACGGGAGAACUCUUGUUAAGGAACUCGGCAAAAUGACCCCGUAACUUCGGGAGAAGGGGUGCCUCGAAAGAGGCCGCAGAGAAUAGUCACAAGCGACUGUUUAGCAAAAACACAGGUAUCUGCGAAAGCGAGAGCUGACGUAUAGGUGCUGACGCCUGCCCGGUGCUGGAAGGUUAAGGGGAAGUGUUAGGGGAAACCCGAAGCAGAGAACCGAAGCCCCAGUAAACGGCGGCCGUAACUAUAACGGUCCUAAGGUAGCGAAAUUCCUUGUCGGGUAAGUUCCGACCCGCACGAAUGGCGUAACGACUUGUGAGCUGUCUCAACAGGAGGCCCGGUGAAAUUGAAGUAUGUGUGAAGAUGCACAUUACCCGCGACUGGACGGAAAGACCCCGUAGAGCUUUACUGUAACCUGACAUUGGAUCUUGAUAACGGAUGCACAGGAUAGGUGGGACGCUGGGAGGUAUGGACUUUGGUCUGUACGGAGCGGACGUUGGGAUACCACUCUUCUGUUAUUGAGAUUCUAACCUCAAGCCGUAAGCCGGAUGAGAGACAGUGUCAGGCGGACAGUUUGACUGGGGCGGUCGCCUCCGAAAGAGUAACGGAGGCGCCCAAAGGUUCCCUCA